GUUUGAUCCUGGCUCAGAACGAACGCUGGCGGCGCGCCUAACACAUGCAAGUCGAGCGCCUCACUUUCGGGUGGGGAGCGGCGCACGGGUGAGUAACGCGUGGGAAUCUACCCUGGGGUUCGGGACAACGGCGGGAAACUGCCGCUAACACCGGAUACGGCCUUUUGGCGAAAGUUUACGCCCUGGGAUGAGCCCGCGUCCGAUUAGCUUGUUGGUGAGGUAACGGCUCACCAAGGCUUCGAUCGGUAGCCGGUCUGAGAGGAUGAUCGGCCACACUGGGACUGAGACACGGCCCAGACUCCUACGGGAGGCAGCAGUGGGGAAUCUUGGACAAUGGGGGCAACCCUGAUCCAGCGACGCCGCGUGGGUGAUGAAGGCCUUCGGGUUGUAAAGCCCUUUUGUCGGGGACGAUGAUGACGGUACCCGGCGAAUAAGCACCGGCUAACUCCGUGCCAGCAGCCGCGGUAAUACGGAGGGUGCUAGCGUUGUUCGGAAUUACUGGGCGUAAAGGGCGCGUAGGCGGCCGUUUGCGUCGGAUGUGAAAGCCCGGGGCUCAACCUCGGAACGGCAUUCGAUACGGGACGGCUGGAGACCGGGAGAGGAGAGUGGAAUAGCCAGUGUAGAGGCGAAGUUCGUAGAUAUUGGCUGGAACACCGGUGGCGAAAGCGGCUCUCUGGCCCGGUUCUGACGCUGAGGCGCGAAAGCGUGGGGAGCAAACAGGGUUAGAUACCCUGGUAGUCCACGCCCUAAACGAUGUGUGCUGGGCGUCGGGGGGCUUGCCCCUCGGUGCCGGAGCUAACGCGGUAAGCACACCGCCUGGGGAGUACGGCCGCAAGGUUAAAACUCAAAGGAAUUGACGGGGGCCCGCACAAGCGGUGGAGCAUGUGGUUUAAUUCGACGCAACGCGCAGAACCUUACCAGCCCUUGACAUGGCGGCUGCGGCCCGGGGAGACCUGGGCUUCCCUUCGGGGGGCCGUCACAGGUGCUGCAUGGCUGUCGUCAGCUCGUGUCGUGAGAUGUUGGGUUAAGUCCCGCAACGAGCGCAACCCUUAUCUCUAGUUGCCAGCGGGUAGGGCCGGGCACUCUAGAGAGACCGCCGGUGACAAGCCGGAGGAAGGUGGGGAUGACGUCAAGUCCUCAUGGCCCUUAUGGGCUGGACUACACACGUGCUACAAUGGCGGUGACAGUGGGCAGCGAAACAGUGAUGUGGAGCAAAUCCCCAAAAGCCGUCUCAGUUCGGAUCGCAGGCUGCAACUCGCCUGCGUGAAGGUGGAAUCGCUAGUAAUCGUGGAUCAGCACGCCACGGUGAAUACGUUCCCGGGCCUUGUACACACCGCCCGUCACACCAUGGGAGUUGGCUCUACCCGAAGCCGAUGAGCCAACCGUCGCAAGACGGAGGCAGUCGUCCACGGUCGGGUUAGCGACUGGGGUGAAGUCGGAACAAGGUAGCCGUAGGGGACCUGCGGCUG
Molecule: ribosomal RNA, 1469 nt
Filed under: metagenome
Description: bacterial SSU rRNA
Rfam family: Bacterial small subunit ribosomal RNA
Source: RNAcentral